GUGUGCGUGUUCCAAGCUCAAGAGUACUAGAAUCUCUACGCAGAGUCAAUGCAGAAGGAGUUCACAUGAGACGUUUAAGGCUGCGUGUGUCAAGGCGAAGGCAGUAUUCUGUACCUGGCCCGAAUUCCUUGUGGCAUAUAGAUGGGAAUCAUAAGCUCAUCAGGUGGAGAUUUGUUAUCCAUGGAGGGGUGGACGGAUUCAGUCGUCUUGUGGUCUACCUCAUUGUGGCUGGCAAUAAUAGAGCCAGUACGGUCUUACGGAGCUUCAUGACUGCUGUUGAGCAGUAUGGACUGCCGUCAAGGGUACGGUCUGAUAAAGGGGGAGAGAAUGCAGAUGUCGCAGAAUUUAUGAUCAGAAGUAGAGGUACUGACAGGAAUUCACACAUCACUGGAUGAAGUGUCCA
This is a long non-coding RNA of Neoarius graeffei (lesser salmon catfish), 403 nucleotides long. RefSeq lists it as uncharacterized. The record is from RefSeq and is a predicted model, not a curated record. The transcript is spliced from 3 exons. Lineage: Eukaryota; Metazoa; Chordata; Actinopteri; Siluriformes; Ariidae.